Molecule: long non-coding RNA, 599 nt
Organism: Myotis brandtii (Brandt's bat)
Lineage: Eukaryota; Metazoa; Chordata; Mammalia; Chiroptera; Vespertilionidae
Exons: 3
Source: RefSeq, a predicted model, not a curated record
CUCUUCUCCUUGCAGGACCCUCGGCACUGAAGAGCAGGGUCUUGGGACCUGCCUGCCCACUGCGCUCCCUGUAGUGAACCCUCCUCCACCUGGGCCACGCUCACACUUGCCUCUGCUGGUGCAGACAUCUCCUUUCCCGUGGCACAUGCAUGCGCGCUCGCUGCCUCCCGUCUCACUCCUAUGUCUUCAUUGCCAAUGCACUUAUAUGUUUCUCCUGGGACAGUGAGCAGAUUCUCAUCUUGCAACCUGUAUCGCCAGCCCAGCCCAGCCCAGGCAGGGCCUGGCUCAGGAUACUUUCCUAUUGGACUUCAGUGAGCAAGCAGAUGAGCUAGAAGGAUUAGGAGGGGGUCGAUGGAAGCUUUGCCAUAUUUGUAGUCCAGGGACUGGUAACAGAACAGUGGUCUGGAAAGGCAUCAGAGCCGGGCGGUUAAAAUGGCAGCUCUGCAGCCUUCUGUGAUCCUGGGCACAGCAAGCAAUCUUUCCUCUGCUGGGAGAAUGGGCCUGACGACUCACAGAGCUCACAGAGGAGACAGUGCAGUGCGAGUGAAUGGUCCUGGUUCGAGAGAAUGGAGAAGUAUAGAAGAGAAGAAGAAAGGAAU